GAUGAACGCUAGCGGGAGGCCUAACACAUGCAAGCCGAGCGGUAGAGUUCCUUCGGGAACUUGAGAGCGGCGUACGGGUGCGUAACACGUGUGCAACCUACCUUUAUCUGGGGGAUAGCCUUUCGAAAGGAAGAUUAAUACCCCAUAAUAUAAUGAUUGGCAUCAAUUAUUAUUGAAAACUCCGGUGGAUAGAGAUGGGCACGCGCAAGAUUAGAUAGUUGGUGAGGUAACGGCUCACCAAGUCAAUGAUCUUUAGGGGUCCUGAGAGGGAGAUCCCCCACACUGGUACUGAGACACGGACCAGACUCCUACGGGAGGCAGCAGUGAGGAAUAUUGAACAAUGGGUGAAAGCCUGAUCCAGCCAUCCCGCGUGAAGGAUGACGGUCCUAUGGAUGGUAAACUUCUUUUGUACAGGGAUAAACCUACUCUCGUGAGGGUAGCUGAAGGUACUGUACGAAUAAGCACCGGCUAACUCCGUG
This 479-nucleotide ribosomal RNA is filed under the name uncultured bacterium. RNAcentral's name for it is "partial 16S ribosomal RNA". It matches the Rfam family "Bacterial small subunit ribosomal RNA", at positions 28 to 507 of the family's 1533-position model. The record is from RNAcentral.